UUCCCCUAGUAACUGCGAGUGAAGCGGGAAAAGCUCAAAUUUGAAAUCUGGCGGCUACGUCGCCCGAGUUGUAUUCUGGAGAAGCGUUUUCCGCGUCGGACCGUGUACAAGUGCCUUGGAACAGGACGUCAUAGAGGGUGAGAAUCCCGUCUUUGACACGGACGCCCGAUGCUCUGUGAUGCGCUCUCGAAGAGUCGAGUUGUUUGGGAAUGCAGCUCAAAACGGGUGGUAAAUUCCAUCUAAAGCUAAAUAUUGGCGAGAGACCGAUAGCGAACAAGUACCGUGAGGGAAAGAUGAAAAGCACUUUGGAAAGAGAGUAAAACAGUACGUGAAAUUGUUGAAAGGGAAACGCUUGAAGUCAGUCGCGUCUGCCGGAACUCAGCCUUGCUUCUGCUUGGUGCACUUUCCGGCCUGACGGGCCAGCAUCGGUUUCGAGCGGCGGACAAUGGCGAGGGGAAGGUGGCAGCUCCGGCUGUGUUAUAGCCCCUUGUCGCAAACGCCGCCCGGGACCGAGGAAUCCGGCGCAAGCCUGGGAUGCUGGCGUAAUGGCUUUAAACGACCCGUCUUGAAACACGGACCAAGGAGUGCUACGUGCUCGCGAGUGUUUGGGUGGAAAACCCGGACGCGAAAUGAAAGUGAAAGCCGAUACCCCUUUGCGGGGGGCACCGGCGCCCGAGCCUGAUGUUUUCGGAAGGCCUUGCGGUAGAGCGAGUGUGUUGCGACCCGAAAGAUGGUGAACUAUUCCUGAGGAGGGCGAAGCCAGAGGAAACUCUGGUGGAGGCUCGUAGCGGUUCUGACGUGCAAAUCGAUCGCAGGACUUGGGUAUAGGGGCGAAAGACU
Molecule: ribosomal RNA, 840 nt
Filed under: uncultured fungus
Lineage: Eukaryota; Fungi
Description: eukaryotic LSU rRNA
Rfam family: Eukaryotic large subunit ribosomal RNA
Source: RNAcentral